UAUAUAUAUAUAACUAUUAACCUAUUUAUUCGUUGCAUUUCAUGCAUCCUCUGUUCCAAUUAUAUAUAUUCCAAUUAUACAUAUAUGGGUUCAAAAAAAAAAAAACAUCGACAUCAAACAUCUACAUAGUACAAACUAUUAUCAACUAUCAUAUAUGCCUAUUUAUAUAACUUCUCGGAAUAUGAAAUAAUUCUCCAUCUAAGCUUAAUAACAUAAAAUCCUAUAGGAACAUGCCGACCACAAUGGCAAAAGUUUCACCAACUCGAUGAAUACGGGAUUUUCUGUUGGAUACUGAUAAGAACGAGUGCUAACCUGCGCACGGAAGACAAACCCAACACUGAGUAAUCAACUCGGUAGCAUUUCUAUAACUAAUGUUAUAAUAUAAAAUAAAUUAAAAAUCAAGGGUUCAUA
This 411-nucleotide long non-coding RNA is filed under the name Gossypium raimondii (Peruvian cotton). Its description in RNAcentral is "long non-coding RNA (GRAI_LNC005082)". Lineage: Eukaryota; Viridiplantae; Streptophyta; Magnoliopsida; Malvales; Malvaceae. The record is from RNAcentral.